Molecule: ribosomal RNA, 254 nt
Filed under: uncultured bacterium
Lineage: Bacteria
Description: partial 16S ribosomal RNA
Rfam family: Bacterial small subunit ribosomal RNA
Source: RNAcentral
UACGUAGGGUGCAAGCGUUGUCCGGAAUUAUUGGGCGUAAAGAGCUCGUAGGCGGUUUGUUGCGUCGGCUGUGAAAUCCCGAGGCUCAACCUCGGGUCUGCAGUCGAUACGAGCAAACUAGAGUGUUGCAGGGGAGACUGGAAUUCCUGGUGUAGCGGUGAAAUGCGCAGAUAUCAGGAGGAACACCGGUGGCGAAGGCGACUACCUGGCCUGUUUCUUGACGCUGAGGCGCGAAAGCUAGGGGAGCAAACGGG